This 238-nucleotide ribosomal RNA is filed under the name uncultured bacterium. Its description in RNAcentral is "partial 16S ribosomal RNA". It matches the Rfam family "Bacterial small subunit ribosomal RNA", at positions 96 to 334 of the family's 1533-position model. The record is from RNAcentral.
CGGCGGACGGGUGAGUAACGCGUGGGUAGCCUGCCUCAUACAGGGGGAUAACAGUUAGAAAUGACUGCUAAUACCGCAUAAGACCACAGCACCGCAUGGUGCGGGGGUAAAAACUCCGGUGGUAUGAGAUGGACCCGCGUCUGAUUAGCUGGUUGGUAAGGUAACGGCUUACCAAGGCGACGAUCAGUAGCCGACCUGAGAGGGUGACCGGCCACAUUGGGACUGAGACACGGCCCAA